RNAcentral lists this transfer RNA (90 nucleotides) under SAR324 cluster bacterium. RNAcentral describes it as "tRNA-Ser". It matches the Rfam family "tRNA". From Rfam's summary of the family: Transfer RNA (tRNA) molecules are approximately 80 nucleotides in length. Their secondary structure includes four short double-helical elements and three loops (D, anti-codon, and T loops). The record is from RNAcentral. Lineage: Bacteria; Deltaproteobacteria.
GGAGAGAUGUCUGAGUGGCUGAAGGAGCACGCCUGGAAAGCGUGUAAGUGGGCAACUGCUUCCGGGGUUCGAAUCCCCGUCUCUCCGCCA